UACGUAGGGGGCAAGCGUUGUCCGGAAUCAUUGGGCGUAAAGCGCGUGUAGGCGGCCAGAAAAGUCCGCUGUGAAAACUCGAGGCUCAACUUCGAGCUGUCGGUGGAAACUUUCUGGCUAGAGUCCGGAAGAGGAGAAUGGAAUUCCUGGUGUAGCGGUGAAAUGCGCAGAUAUCAGGAAGAACACCCGUGGCGAAGGCGGUUCUCUGGGACAGUACUGACGCUGAGACGCGAAAGCGUGGGGAGCGAACAGG
This 253-nucleotide ribosomal RNA is filed under the name uncultured bacterium. RNAcentral describes it as "partial 16S ribosomal RNA". It matches the Rfam family "Bacterial small subunit ribosomal RNA", at positions 524 to 776 of the family's 1533-position model. The record is from RNAcentral.